This 795-nucleotide ribosomal RNA is filed under the name Triticum aestivum (bread wheat). Its description in RNAcentral is "partial small subunit ribosomal RNA". Lineage: Eukaryota; Viridiplantae; Streptophyta; Magnoliopsida; Poales; Poaceae. The record is from RNAcentral.
GUCACCGAGAAGCUGACUCGCACCAACUACAUCCUCUGGCGGACUCAAGUCACGCCGCAGCUACGUGGUGCGGGAUUCUUCGGCUACGUGGACGGCUCCAUGCCUGAGCCGGCCAAACUCGUCGUCACCAAGGACAAGGACGGGAAUGAGGACAAUUCACUGAAUCCCCUUCAUCCAGUCUGGAUCCGUGAGGAACAGCAGUUACUCGGAUACCUUCUGAAUAAUCUCUCCAAGGAGGUACUUGUGCAGGUCACCACGAUCGAUCACGCGCAAGACCUCUGGACAACACUGGAGAACAUGUUUUCAUCCCAGUCCCUGUCUCGCGUCAACAACAUCCGUGUCACCCUCGCCAAUGCGCAGAAGGGGACGCAGCCCAUGGCAAGCUUCUUCUGGCACAUGCGCUCACUGUCAGAUGAGCUCGCGGCGGCUGGCAAGCCGCUCGGAGACGAUGAACUCGUCUCCUACAUCAUCGCCGCCCUCGACAUGGAGUACCAGCCUCUCGUCUCUGCGGUCGACGCCCGCACCACGCCAGUCUCGCUCGACGACCUUUUCGCCAUGAUCAGCAACUUCGACCAGCGGGUUGCCCUCUACCAAGGGGGUCACUCCGGCGGCGGCUUCAAGUCCUCCGCCAACGCGGCCAUGCGCGGUCGUGGUGGCGGUUCACAUCAUAGGGGGCGCGGCAGGGGCAGGCACAACGGUGGCCCCAACACCAGCAACAGCAACCCCCAUGGCAACAACGGUGGUGGCGGACGACCCUCCUUCAACAACAACCAGGGCCACUGUUGGGUUUCGUAG